Molecule: non-coding RNA, 1197 nt
Organism: Cricetulus griseus (Chinese hamster)
Lineage: Eukaryota; Metazoa; Chordata; Mammalia; Rodentia; Cricetidae
Source: RefSeq, a predicted model, not a curated record
AGCUCAUCGCACAUUAAAAGAAUGUUUAUUAAAACAAAAAGGGGGAAUAGGCUAUGGUAAAACACCAAGGGAACAAUUAUCUUUUGCUCUCUUCACCUUAAAUUUUUUAAAUUUGGAUUCUCAGGGUCUGUCUGCUGCAGACCGGCAUCAGAAUCAGGCCCCCGCCUGGAAGGGAUACAUCAAAUGGAAAGAUGUAAUUACGGGUCUAUGGCAUGGACCAGACCCAGUUUUAGCAUGGGCGAGAGGUUCUGUUUGUGUUUUUCCUCAGGAUCAGCAAGAUCCGGUGUGGAUUCCAGAAAAACAGUGCCCUAAAAUGGCGAAUGUAAAGCAUCAUAUGUGAUGGCUAUUCUUGUUUGUCAACUUGACUAUAUCUGGAAUUUUAAAAAAAAAACAAAACCCACAAGCAAUAGGGAACACCUGUGAGGGAGUUUUAAUUAAUUGGAUCAUUUGAGCUCAGAAGAUCCACCGAAAUGCUGGGCCACACUUUCUCCUGUCAUUUAUUGUCUCUGGCAAGUACCUGAGGAAUUACUUCACUGGUGUUAAAGCCUGCUUCUUCGAGAUUCUGACAUACAUUGAAGAAGUGCUGAGACAUCCAGCCUCGUGGACUGAACAGCUAUUGAAUUCUUGGAUAUUCUGUUGGGAUGCAGCUAUCAUCAUACCCGCUAGACCCCCAGCCUGUAAGCCACUCUAAUAAAUCAUUUCUGUUCCUCUAGAGAAUCCUGAUAAAUCAGUAUACUUAAAUUUCCUCCAUUGGAAAGCUGUUCCUUCCUGUGCUCUGAUAACCCACAAAGUCAGGGCAGAGUGCUUUUCCCUUUGCCACAGGAGCGAGGAGACAUACAGAUGGGGAGGCGUGAAGUUCAAAAGCCUAGCUGACUUGAUGGACUUAAGAAGUGCAUGAAGUACAGUUGCCUUGGUUGUGCUGUCUUUUCAAAGCAAUAGAACAAUGACUACGACAAAGAAGAAGGCCUUUUUGUACUAUAGAGCUUUUUAAAACUAAGGUUUAGUGCUGCAGAGAUGGCUCAGUGAGUAAGAGCACUGGCUAUUCUUCCAGAAGUCCUGAAUUCAAUUCCCAGCAACCACAUGGUGGCUCACAACCAUCUGUAAUGAGAUCUGGUGCCCCCUUCUCAUUGAAGCAGAAUACUGUGUCCAUAAUAAAUAAAUAAAUCUUUUAAAAAACAAACAAACAAAAAACCUACA